GGCAAGAUGGCCGAGCGGUCUAAGGCGCCACGUUCAGGUUAUCCAAACUUGAAUCUCCUUUCGUGGUCUCGCAAGAGGCGUGAGUUCGAAUCUCACUCUUGUCA
Cryphonectria parasitica EP155 is the source of this 104-nucleotide non-coding RNA. Lineage: Eukaryota; Fungi; Ascomycota; Sordariomycetes; Diaporthales; Cryphonectriaceae. The record is from the annotation of a RefSeq genome assembly.